RNAcentral lists this ribosomal RNA (889 nucleotides) under uncultured bacterium. Its description in RNAcentral is "bacterial SSU rRNA". It matches the Rfam family "Bacterial small subunit ribosomal RNA", at positions 505 to 1397 of the family's 1533-position model. The record is from RNAcentral.
GUGCCAGCAGCCGCGGUAAUACGGAAGGUCCGGGCGUUAUCCGGAUUUAUUGGGUUUAAAGGGAGCGCAGGCGGAAGGUUAAGCGUGACGUGAAAUGUACCGGCUCAACCGGUGAAUUGCGUCGCGAACUGGUCUUCUUGAGUGAGUACGACGGAGUCGGAAUUCGUGGUGUAGCGGUGAAAUGCUUAGAUAUCACGAAGAACGCCGAUUGCGAAGGCAGUCUCCGAGUCCUUAACUGACGCUAAUGCUCGAAAGUGCGGGUAUCGAACAGGAUUAGAUACCCUGGUAGUCCGCACGGUAAACGAUGGAUGCCCGCUGUUGGCGAUACAUUGUCAGCGGCCAAGCGAAAGCGUUAAGCAUCCCACCUGGGGAGUACGCCGGCAACGGUGAAACUCAAAGGAAUUGACGGGGGCCCGCACAAGCGGAGGAACAUGUGGUUUAAUUCGAUGAUACGCGAGGAACCUUACCCGGGCUUGAACUGCCAGCGAACGAUUCAGAGAUGAUGAGGCCCUUCGGGGCGCUGGUGGAGGUGCUGCAUGGUUGUCGUCAGCUCGUGCCGUGAGGUGUCGGCUUAAGUGCCAUAACGAGCGCAACCCCUUUCGCUAGUUGCCAUCAGGUUAUGCUGGGCACUCUGGCGACACUGCCACCGUAAGGUGUGAGGAAGGUGGGGAUGACGUCAAAUCAGCACGGCCCUUACGUCCGGGGCUACACACGUGUUACAAUGGGUGGUACAGAGAGUCGGUGCAAUGCAAAUUGUAUCCAAUCAUGAAAGCCAUCCUCAGUUCGGAUUGGGGUCUGCAACCCGACCCCAUGAAGCUGGAUUCGCUAGUAAUCGCGCAUCAGCCAUGGCGCGGUGAAUACGUUCCCGGGCCUUGUACACACCGCCCGU